GGGGAAUAUUGCACAAUGGGCGCAAGCCUGAUGCAGCAACGCCGCGUGCGGGAUGACGGCCUUCGGGUUGUAAACCGCUUUCAGCAGGGACGAAGCUUUUUGUGACGGUACCUGCAGAAGAGGCACCGGCUAACUACGUGCCAGCAGCCGCGGUGAUACGUAGGGUGCGAGCGUUGUCCGGAUUUAUUGGGCGUAAAGGGCUCGUAGGCGGUUGAUCGCGUCGGAAGUGGAAACUUGAUGCUUAACGUUGAGCGUGCUUUCGAUACGGGUUGACUUGAGGAAGGUAGGGGAGAAUGGAAUUCCUGGUGGAGCGGUGGAAUGCGCAGAUAUCAGGAGGAACACCAGUGGCGAAGGCGGUUCUCUGGACCUUUCCUGACGCUGAGGAGCGAAAGCGUGGGGAGCGAACAGGCUUAGAUACCCUGGUAGUCCACGCUGUAAACGGUGGGUACUAGGUGUGGGGUCCAUUCCACGGAUUCUGUGCCGUAGCUAACGCAUUAAGUACCCCGCCUGGGGAGUACGGCCGCAAGGCUA
Molecule: ribosomal RNA, 531 nt
Filed under: uncultured bacterium
Lineage: Bacteria
Description: bacterial SSU rRNA
Rfam family: Bacterial small subunit ribosomal RNA
Source: RNAcentral